AUUGAACGCUGGCGGCAGGCCUAACACAUGCAAGUCGAACGGAGUGGCGGACGGGUGAGUAAUGUAUCGGAACGUGCCCAGUAGCGGGGGAUAACUACGCGAAAGCGUAGCUAAUACCGCAUACUAUUGGAGCGGCCGAUAUCGGAUUAGCUAGUUGGUGGGGUAACGGCUCACCAAGGCGACGAUCCGUAGCUGGUUUGAGAGGACGACCAGCCACACUGGGACUGAGACACGGCCCAGACUCCUACGGGAGGCAGCAGUGGGGAAUUUUGGACAAUGGGGGAAACCCUGAUCCAGCCAUCCCGCGUGUGCGAUGAAGGCCUUCGGGUUGUAAAGUACUUUCAGCGAGGAGGCGUUACUCGCAGAAGAAGCACCGGCUAACUCCGUGCCAGCAGCCGCGGUAAUUC
Molecule: ribosomal RNA, 407 nt
Filed under: uncultured bacterium
Lineage: Bacteria
Description: partial 16S ribosomal RNA
Rfam family: Bacterial small subunit ribosomal RNA
Source: RNAcentral